GGCACGGUCGCGCAGAACACGGCGGCGCGCCGGCUUGCGCUCGGCAGCCUCGCGUUCAAGCUCGCGGGCGCGCUG
Molecule: transfer RNA, 75 nt
Filed under: Paraburkholderia largidicola
Lineage: Bacteria; Pseudomonadati; Pseudomonadota; Betaproteobacteria; Burkholderiales; Burkholderiaceae
Description: Paraburkholderia sp. F2 tRNA-Ala
Source: RNAcentral